RNAcentral lists this long non-coding RNA (417 nucleotides) under Homo sapiens (human). RNAcentral describes it as "non-protein coding LINC02241:9". Lineage: Eukaryota; Metazoa; Chordata; Mammalia; Primates; Hominidae. The record is from RNAcentral.
UACUAGGCCACGUGGCAAGGGCCUGGUUGGGGACCUCCAGGGGUUGAGAGCAUCCUCUGGACAACAUGGAAAAAGAAAAUGAAAAUGGUGACCUCAGCCCUAUAGCUAGAAGGAAUUGAAUCCUGUCAACAACGAUACUCAUCACUCACUGCAGAUGUUACUUUAAGACAUUCUGGAGCAGCGUCAUGUGCAGGAACAAUAAGGAAGUGAGUGCUUUUGUAAUUCCUGAACAACUGUGUCUUACACUUACUAAGGGAUUCAUGGGCAAUAUGACUGAAUAGGAACAGCUCCAGUCUGAAGCUCCCAGUGAGACCAACAUAGAAGGCAAUCUGGGUGUUAUGAAAGAUGUAGACCAACAGAAACACUCAUACCUUUCUGGUGACAAUAAAACUUUGUACAUUUAUUUUGGAAAACCCU